GCCCUUCACUCUGGGACAAGCCCUGGAAACGGGGUCUAAUACCGGAUAACACCGGCCUUCGCAUGGAGGCUGGUUGAAAGCUCCGGCGGUGAAGGAUGAGCCCGCGGCCUAUCAGCUUGUUGGUGGGGUAAUGGCCCACCAAGGCGACGACGGGUAGCCGGCCUGAGAGGGCGACCGGCCACACUGGGACUGAGACACGGCCCAGACUCCUACGGGAGGCAGCAGUGGGGAAUAUUGCACAAUGGGCGAAAGCCUGAUGCAGCGACGCCGCGUGAGGGAUGACGGCCUUCGGGUUGUAAACCUCUUUCAGCAGGGAAGAAGCGAAAGUGACGGUACCUGCAGAAGAAGCGCCGGCUAACUACGUGCCAGCAGCCGCGGUAAUACGUAGGGCGCAAGCGUUGUCCGGAAUUAUUGGGCGUAAAGAGCUCGUAGGCGGCUUGUCACGUCGGGUGUGAAAGCCCGGGGCUUAACCCCGGGUCUGCAUCCGAUACGGGCAGGCUAGAGUGUGGUAGGGGAGAUCGGAAUUCCUGGUGUAGCGGUGAAAUGCGCAGAUAUCAGGAGGAACACCGGUGGCGAAGGCGGAUCUCUGGGCCAUUACUGACGCUGAGGAGCGAAAGCGUGGGGAGCGAAACAGGAUUAGAUACCCUGGU
Molecule: ribosomal RNA, 650 nt
Filed under: Streptomyces narbonensis
Lineage: Bacteria; Bacillati; Actinomycetota; Actinomycetes; Kitasatosporales; Streptomycetaceae
Description: bacterial SSU rRNA
Rfam family: Bacterial small subunit ribosomal RNA
Source: RNAcentral